This 10091-nucleotide long non-coding RNA is filed under the name Homo sapiens (human). RNAcentral's name for it is "non-protein coding lnc-DRD5-10:22". Lineage: Eukaryota; Metazoa; Chordata; Mammalia; Primates; Hominidae. The record is from RNAcentral.
ACUCCAAGCUGUGUUGCUUCAGAGAGAAGUUGCUAAGAAGGCUUCUGUUGCAAAUGGCACAAGCUGAAUGUUUCCCAGUGCCAGGCAAUCCCUCACCCAAGACAACUUGUACAGGCCCUUCACAUCCUCUUGGUGCUUUUUCAACACAGCAGCUGUACAGGCUGACUUCUGUCAAUCUGUGUUUUCCAAAGCACCAUCUAUUGAAAAGUCUCUUAUUUCUCCAUUAAAUUUUUUGGCACCUUCAUUGAAAAUCAGUCGAGCAUAAAUAAAAGCUGGGAUACAUGAAGACUGCCAUCCCUUGAGUCACUUGCCCUGUAGCUGCCACUGUUGGAAAAGGGCUUGCUUCUGUGUCCUUGUGCCCACUUUGAAAAUCCCUGGGAAGUCCUUGGAGUCAGAUGAGCAGGCCUCCGCCACUCUGCCAAAAAGUCUGUUCAAUCAGGAGUCCCCAACCCCUGAGCCAUGGACUGAUAUGGAGCUAUGGUCUGUUAGGAACUGGGCUGCCCAGGAGGAGGUCAAUGGUGCUUCUACAAUUUCCUUAUAGGAGGAGUGAAGAGUAAGCAUUUGGAUUGGACCAGGAUUUGGAGAACUUGUCAUGUUGCUCUACGUGCAUAUGAAAUACAUCAUUGUAACUUAGAAUGUGAAUUACAGAACAAACAUGAAAGUUAGAAAAAUAUUCUAAACAUAUUUUUAUGAUCUCUACUUGCAAUAAGGAAACUGUUAGGCUUUUCCAUCAAAGAAUAAGUGCAACAAAAACAAAAAUUUCUGGAUGGAAAAAAGGAGAUUUGAGGGGCAAGGCUAAAGCCCCCCAAACCUUCCUCAGGAUGAACACAAACCCCAUCUUUAUUUUCCUGUUGCCACUGUUCCAUGUUGCUGGGCUCUAUUCCAGCAAAAUUUUGGAAAGCGUUGCUACAGUUCUGCUCAUUUCUUUCUCACUUCAGAACAAUGAUGCCCUUUCCAGAUAAAGCAUCUUAAUUAAACAGAUGACAUUUGAACUAGACCUUGAAGAACAGGUCAGAGUUAUAUUGGGAAAGAAGUAGGAGAGGAACACCCAGAAAAUAACAUUUAUGAACAUAAAGGCACAGAAUAUAAAUGUCUCUGACAAAGACAGAAAUCAAGGGUAAAUUUUAGUGUGGCAUAGAUUAAUUCACUAACUCAAUAUAUAUAUAUUUACAUAGAGAGCAUGGAUAGAUACUAGAAAUAAAACAAUGGAUUAGACAUGGGCAACCUCAUGAUGUUUAGCAAAUAUUGUGUUCUUUAAGGCAGCAGUUCCCAACCUUUUUGGUACUAGGGACCGGUUACGUGGAAGACAAUUUUUCCACAGACUGGGAUGGGGGGACUGUUUUCAAGACAAUUCAAGCACGUUACAUUUAUGGUGCACUUUAUUUCUAUUAUUACUGCAUUGUAAUACAUAAUGAAAUAAGUACACAACUCACCAUAAUGUGGCAUCAUUGGAAGCCCUGAGCGUGCUUUCCUGCAACUAGACAGUUCCCUCUGGGGCCAAUGGGAAACAAUGACAGAUCAUCAGGCAUUAGAUUCUCAUGAGGAGCCCGCAACCUACAUCCCUCACAUGCACAGUCCACAAUAGGAUUCAUGCGCCUAUGAGAAUCUAGUGUCAUGGCUGGCAGAUAUAACAGAAGAUGGAGUUCAGGCGAUAAUGUGAGUAAGAGGGAGCGGCCAGAAAUACAGAUGAAACUUCACUCACUCACUUGCCACUCACCUCCUGGUCUGCGUCCUGGUUCCUAACGGGCCAUGGAUAGUUACAAGUCUGUGGCCCAGGGGGUUGAAGACCCCUGCCCUAGAGUACAUAUGCAGUGGAUGUUGAGAAACAGAUUAAUUCAUUAAUGCAGAGUCUUCAUAUUCCAAACAAAAGAUUUGAGGGUUUUAUCUGUUAUAACAACACUUGUGUUUCACUAAUUAUGUCAGGCACGACUCUAAUAACUUCAAAUUUAUUCACUCACCUAUUAUUAGAACAACAUUAUGAUAUAGGAAUACACUUGAUAUGUCCAUUAUACUGAUGAGGAGAUUCAGACAUAGAGUAGUUAUUUAACUUGGGUAAGGUCUUCAGAGCUAAUAAGAGGAAGAACCAGGACUUGAGCAUGGGUAGGGUGGCUUCAGAGUGGUAGUCUGGCUGUUUGUUUGUAAUCACCAAAAUGAAGCUACAGUGAUGUUUCAGUUUACAUAACAGAGUCCUGAGGCUUAAAGAUGCCAGGAAAUUAAUUUAAAGAUAUUGUAGUACGUAUCCCUGUCCAGACUAGAACUCCAGUCCAGGAGAACGCCAGUGCUCCUUCUGUUUCACAUAGAGAACACAUCAGUACUGUGACACACAGAAAGGUUUUAGUGGGAUGCUUGGUUAAGAGAAAUACGUUUACAACAAAAGAGGUGAUACUGUUGCUUGUCUUAGAAAAAUAUGGGAGACCUCAAUCAGCUGAAGUUCAACAUGUUCAAAGGUGGACAAAGUUUCUCGUUGCUCUAAGUAAGUUUAAAAUUGAGCCAAAAAGGUCUUGAUUGAUAAGGGUGGCUGAUACAUUUUUGAAUGUUUUCACUGGCAUGAUUCACAAAAUUGUAUAAAUUGUAUAGUCCCAGGCUAUCCCACCAUUAACUGCCUCAUGGGGACUGUCUCUAACUUCCCCAGGACUUGAUCCAUAGGGAAAUGCUUGCAAGAAUAAAAAGCAUUAAUGAAUUCAGGAUUCGUUUCUCACUAAACAGCAGUUUGGGGUGAUGUCACACACACACACACACACACACACACACAAAAAUGGAACAAGCCAGCCCCAUUUUCAGCAUUGCCUCAUUUAAGCUUGGCACACAAAGACAAUUGAUGCUGACUCAGAGUUAUUUCAAGAUGGAAAGAGUGUCCUGAAUUAUCACACCCCACGUAAUCCUAGCCACCCUGUAUUCCUUCUCCUUACUGUCCCAUAGGUGGGUACAUCCAUCCCAGAUAACAAGGUUUGACUCAUUUAAGGCCCUUUUCCUUCUGCACAAGAUCCUGAAAUUUUCCCUACCGUGUGUGUUUGAUGGUGCAGAAGAAAUAAUUCUCAAAAAUAAACUAGUUUAUCAUUAGAUGGAAGCAAGGUAUCACCUUUAUUAAUGAGAAAGCAGAGUUUGAAGGACAUAGUGCAUUCCUCAUGCAGCUAGACCCUCUGCUAUUGGCUCCUGCCUUUAAAUUAGAAAGCCUUACUUUUCCAUCUGCAGGUAUUGCUAUCCCUUUACAAGCCUCUGCUCCCACGGAAAGAAAAUUGUGCAACAUACGACAAAAAGCAAUAGAGGCUUCAGACUCUCCAAAAAGAAAAAGAAAUUAUGUCAAGAAUGUAGUUUAUUAUUUCCCAAUUGACUCUAAGAUUAAAUUGACUCUAAGAUUAGUCAGUAACUUUUCCAUGAUGUAAUGAGUAAUGAGACAGAGAGAAGCAGAGUGUUCCACUAAUUGAUCUCAAUCCACAAGAAAGGAAAAGUAUUUCCUCCUUCCUUCCUCCACAUUGUGUUCUCUUAGAACUGUGCUUUACUUGCCCAGGGAAAAGAACACAAGUUGAGUUUAAGAAGCCAGUUCUUCCCAUUCCAAGAUGAGGCCCCACAUCCAAUGCUAACACUACUUCUUGGAGUGAAUACACUUUAGAACUAUCAAUGAAUGAACUGAGCUGAACUUCCCCAACCCCUGUAGACUCUAAAAUGGGUCAGAAGAGCACAUUGGUUAAAACAAGUCUAAGGCUGAAAAUUUAAUCUCUAUUUGAUUUUCUGGCUUACAUUUUUUUUCUCAGUAACCUUGCCAAAAUAGCCUAGUAGGAGAUCCAUUUUGAACUUGAGUGAUAACAUAAUUAUACUCGAAUCACAAAAUGUCAAUAAUGAGAUGACCCACAUUUAAAUAACAUAUUUUUUUGCUACUAUAACAUUACUGGGCCUAUAUUAAAAUAGAAAGAUUAAAUUAUUUUGCAACUUACUUAAAGUAUAAAUAUAAUGCUUCCAAAGAAUUAAGGGCCAAAUCAUUUUUUUUCCUGAUACUUGUGAGGUAAAAUUUAACAGAUUUUAAAGUCCCCACUCAUUUAAUUUUUUGGCCACUUGGUGUCAGCUGGAAGAGUUCUCAAUACAUUGGACAAGACAGUGAUCUCUAAGCAUUUGAAAAUUGAGCUCUUUCUCAUUGGAAGGGGUGUAUUUUCUUCUUCAUGGUCUCAGAGGUUGUAUUUGUUUAACACUGAGUCUCUGAAGUUCUUCACUAUUUAAAAAAUUCCAAGAAGUUACUGUUAAAGAAAAGAUUAUCAUAGCAAUGGCAUUUAUUCUGAGAACUGGAUAAACAGCAAUCCAUCACGGCUUCUAGAAGAGUUUUCACAGAGAAAAAUAUUUUCAACCUGAUCAUUUGUAUUGCCAAAGACUGCGGCAGAAACUUAGUAUUGUGCUAAAAGAAGAUGGAUAUCUUGGUGGAGACCUUGCUGGCAUAUCAUUCAGUUCAUGCUAUUUUUAAAAAAUCUAAUAAUUGAAAUUUUAACUCAGUUGGAAAACUUUCUCACCAAGAUAUUCAUUCUGGAAUUUUUUACUAUAUCAAUAAAAUUUACUUAUAACUACUGCCUGAUAAGUCAGAAUGGAUUUGCUUGCUUUUCCACUCAUAACAUUCAAAAGCUCCUGGCUUCCAUGUCUGCUGAAUGGGGAUUCUACAAAGUAAAUGGAGUUCCCCACACUUUCUUAUGAUAAAGAAUUUUUCAGUUCUGAAAUACUAAGGCUGCUUCUCCUUCAUUUAAUUUAUCUUUCAAAUUUUUAAGACAUAUAAAAAUAUCCCUUCUUUGAGAGGGUUUCCCCUCUUAUAAGUAAUUAAGAGAUACAGAAUUAAUUUAUCACAAGAUAGUGUUGAUAGCAGGAGGGUGAGUUAGUUGAUACUUGACCCCAUGGAAAAGCUGGUUGAUAUGGUUGACUGUGUUCCCACCCAAAUCUCAUCUUGAAUUGUAUUCCCCAUAAUUCUCACAUAUUGAGGGAUGGACCUGGUGGGAGGCGACUGGAUUAUAGGAGCAGUUUCCCCCAUGCUGUUCUCGUGAUAGUGAGUUCUCACAAGAUCUGAUGGUUUAGCUUCCUUCCUUCAAUUCUCUCUCUCACCUGCUGCCAUAUAAGACGUGCCUGCGUCACCUUCAGCCAUGAUAAUAAGUUUCCUGAGGCCUCCCCAGCCAUGCAGAACUGUAAGUCAAUUAAACCUCCUUCCUUUAUAAAUUACCCAGUCUCGGUGAUAUUCUUUAUAGGAGUGUGAGAACAGACUUAUACCCUGGUACUGCCUCUAGACCUGCAAUCUCCUUCCUCAACUUGAAUCAUAACUAAAAUUCGGCAGCCAAUUUAACCUUUUCCCUAGGCCUGGUGUUAACAGUUUCAACCUAGAACUACCCUUGUGCACUGUAACACACUCAUAAUUCACUUUCUUUCAGACUAAGCACAGCACAUAUUCCUCAACCACUGAGGCCUAAAAGUUCUUUAGUGAUGAUAUGUUGUCUCUAAUCAAACUCUUGCCUCAGCUGACCCUUUUAACUGAUGCCUCUGAGGCCACCACUAUUUGCAUGCUCCCUGUUCUUCAUGCACAUAAACUAAGCACAGGUCAAGAUCACAGUGCUGGGACCUGUACCCACAGGCAGUCUACAAAUUUGUUGGGACUCCAGAAGCCCUCUUCACAUUUGUUGGGGUGUCCUUCUAUAUAAGCUAUCACAGAACUCUGGCCAGUGUCACAAUAACCUGCAGUAACCUGCCAUGGUCAAAAUAGUCCAAAGAUUCAAAGAUUCAAAGUCCCUAGACCAUGCCACACAUUCAUAAAGCCAACUCCACAAUGAAAAACCAGCUGCACUGUGUAAUGCAGGUGGCAAGUCACUAAGAUUAAAAAAAAAGAGAAAAAAAAAAAAAAACAGCCAGCAUGGCCUGUGCUUAGAAAAGCACAGUUUACAAGCAUCUGUUCCAGCUCUGCCAAAAGCCAAAAUCAUUCCAUGCAUAACUUGUUUCCAAAAUUUUACACCUUGCUCAUUUCUCAAGGUGCAUAGCCCACGCAUCAGAGUUAUUUGAGAGAAGCUAAAUGAAUAACAUUCCUUUUGCCAUGACCUGGAUUACAAACUAACUGAAAAAUAACGUUUCAAGCAAAUAAAAGCCAAAAUAUACCCAUUAUUAAUAAUAAGGGUAGAUUGGGAUACAAAACUUACAUUUGUGAGCAAUUGGACGUACUAACACUAGCUUCUGAAUUAGACACACUUACUGAUCCAACCAUAGAUAAUUCUGCAUGGAAACAGACCUGGUAAAAGUUACAGAAUGAAGGAACAACAUGUGAUAAAUGCAUCUGCUGUGAGACAAACUUUCAAGGCACACGGUUUGCACACAGAAGAUCACUCUCUUCUUGGAUUGGGAAAGAUAGUGUUGGGCUCUCAGAAAAGGCUGGAAGAUUCUUGUUGCAGCGGUUUACAAGGUUUAGUAGGAACAUUCUAGAUGAGAACAUGAGUGGGUGGAGAUUCUAGGAAUACGUGGCACACUAUGUUAAGCAAAGAUACAUGGUGUUUUUUGAGAAAGAGUAAGUCAUUUAUCAUUAUUAGAGUAUAAAGCAUAAAGGGAGAGGUGGGAGGCUACAUGUUUAAAGAGAUUAAAAGGUGCCAACUUAUGAAACUCAUUUAGGAGGAAAUUAGGUGGUUCCAAAGGUUGUAAGUAGCAGAAAUUCAUGAUCAAACAUAGCUUGCUAUUUGCCGCUUUUAUAUACUGUAUUUCUGAAAACAUAAAUUAUAAUGCUUUUAGCACAAUUAAAAUUAUAAUAGUAAAAAUAACGUUCACUAAGCACUUACUGUAUACUAUGACCUUUGCUAAAGCCUUUUCAUUUGUUAUCUCUUUUAAUAUCUAAAGCAACCCUGAGGGAGGGAGGAGUGUUGUCCACAUGGCAGAGUGGAUGAUAAAUGGUAGGACCACGGUUCAAAUGGAAAGCUCCCCACUCCAAAGCCCAGGCUCUCAACCUUCACUCCCCAUGUAUUUUUAAAUAAAGCUCCCUUAUCUUGUCUGAAAGCAGGAAGUUUCACAUCACUAGAGAAGAGAGAAGAAGGACAUUUGUACUGGGAGGAGUCGACCGGUCCCAGUAAGGAGAAAGUAGCUACAGCGUCAUGGGUGAGCUGGGUCCCCCAAAAAGGAACUUUAAGGGAAUGGACUGAAUCAAGUCUGAGAUGUCCCCAAAGCAAGACCAAAGAACUGAGGAAGAGAAGCAUUCAUCAGAAACCAAAAUUCAGCUACAAGUGAGCAUCCAGAUGGAGGUAUUAUGAAGAGGAACUGAGACUGAGGGCAAAAGGUGCCAGCCAGAAUCCUGGAUAGGAGAGCAAGAACCAGGACCUCAUUUAAGAGACAACCUGCUUAAGGCAGAGUAAGGUGAGAUUGGAUUCACGCAAAGACCUGGAAUUCAAGUAGGUUAAUGAACAGACAGUGUGUGCCUAUACCACGAAUUUACAAUAAUAAUAAGGGUGCUAAUAAUCACAUGGAAUUGUAGAGUAUAAUGAAAAUAUACACACUGGAGAGAAAUUGCACGGGUUGGCAUCUCAGCUUUGUCAUUUACUAUAACAGUGACCUUGGGCAAGUUAUUUAACCACUCUCUGCCUCAAUUUCCUGAUCAGUAAAAUGAGCUAAUAAUACUUUCUUUUUAUUUUGAGAUGGAGUCUCACUCUUUCACUGAGGCUGGAGUGCAGUGGUGCGAUCUCGGCUCACUGCAGCCUCCACCUCCCAGGUUCAAGCGAUUCUCCUGCCUCAGCCUCCCCAGUAACCAGGAUUACAAACAUGCACCACCAUACCCAGCUAACAUAAAUAUGAAUAUAUUAUAUAUAUAUUUGUACUUUUAGUAGAGAUGAGGUUUCACCAUGUUGGCCAGGCUGGUCUUGAAUUCCUGACCUCAAGUGAUCUGCCUGCCUCGGUCUCCCAAAGUGCUGAGAUUACAGGCAUAAACCACCAGGCUUGCACUAUUGAUAAUUAUUAUAGCAUAAAGUUUUUCUGAGGACUAAAUGGGGCAAAAUACGUAAAACACUAAUUAUAAUUAUUGGCAAAUCCCAUAAUGCUUGUUGUUAUUAGUAUACUUAGAAUUAUUUUAACAUUAAAAACUGAAAACUGAAGCUCUGAGAGUCUGUGUGACUUUGAGGAUUAAAGAACUGAAAAAUGGUAGAAGUAGAAUUUGAACUAAGAAAGUACGGUUAUUGAAUGCAUGGAUUUAAUCCCUAUUAAAUACUUUAUCUUCCAAAAUCUAUGACUCUUUAGUCUUCUUUGUUAACAAAACCUACUUUACGAAAUACAGAACUCUCAGUUGUAUAUAUCAAAUAAUAUUUGUCUGUAGCUGAAUUCUGUGAACGUAUCCAGUCAUCCAUUCCAUAGUUGUAAGAGCAUUACUUUUUGAGACGGAGUCUUGCUCUGUUGCCCAGGCCGGAGUGCAGUGGCGCGAUCUCGGCUCACUGCAGGCUCCACCUCCUGGGUUCACGCCAUUCUCCCACCUCAUCCUCCCGAGUAGCUGGGACUACAGGUGCCUGCCACCAUGCCAGGCUGAUUUUUUUUGCAUUUUUAAGUAGAGAUGGGGUUUCACCGUGUUAGCCAGGAUGGUCUCGAUCUCCCGACCUCUUGAAACCCCUGCCUCGGCCUCCCAAAGUGCUGGGAUUACAGGCGUGAGCCACCGCGCUGGGCCCACUUGCUUUAAUGAAUGGCCGUGUUCAUAUAUAUACAUAAUAAAAUGUUUCACCCAUGUAGUUGCCCACUGCUUCUGAAAUGCCAUCAAUCUCUGUUGAUAAGCUGCAUUGAUUUUGUUAUAAAUUUGCAACUGUGGAAAAUAAACAUAGACCUGUCCAGCUGUUCACUUCCUCAAGCGACUUAUCUCCAUCUGUUGUGAUCAAUCUAUUCUAGCACUCCUUCAGACUCCCUGCCAAUUAAUUAAUGCCCCUUUGUAAGGUGCUUUCUUCUUGAGUUCUUCCAUGGGGCUUUCCCCAGUAUAGGUGAGAGUAGUGGUGAGCCAUGAAUCAGAGAAUAGUAACAAUGGUCUGGGGUAGGCAGAGAGGGUGGAAUUCAACUUGACCAGUGUGUCAUCCUCAAUAGCAAAGAACUCUUUUUCUCCUUUGAGCAGAAAGUCAGUGGCUCCUGUUAAGCAAUCACUUGAUGCCCUCUAAGAUCUGAACUCUGCUUAGAGCCCCAGGUUCAUCUUGCCAUCCUGUACCCAUCCUGGCCUUCAGUCAACUGCACUUAGAGACGUCUGAAUAACCUGCACCCUCUGUCUUCGCUGUGAUUUUGCAUGUGCUGCUCUCUCUGGAAAAGUUUCUUUCCCCCUAUUUUGUUUCACUUGAUAAUCUCACAUCCUGCUAAUGUAUCAUAUAUGCAGGCUACCUUCACAGGCGCUUCCGCCUGUAUUAGUUUGUUAGUUUUACUGUAACAAACUGCCACAGACUGAGUAGCUUAAACAGCAGAAAUUUCUCACAAUUCUGGAAGCUAAAAGUUCAAAGUCAAGGUGUCGACAGAUUUCGUUUCUUUUAAGGCCCCUCUUCUUGGAUUAUGGAUGGCAAUCUUCUCCCUGUAUCUUCACGUGGUCUUUCUUCUCUUUCUGUGUCCAAAUCUCUUCUUAUAAAAGACACCAGUUAUAUUGAAUUAGUGCCCACCCUAAAGCCUCAUUUUAAUUAUCUUUUAAAAAACCCUGUCUCUGAAAACAGUCACAGUUUGAGAUACUUGGGAUUAGGAUUUCAAUGUAUGAAUAUAAAGGAGACACAAUUCAGCUUGUCACGGGCAUUAACUCCAAAAGAGUCCCUUCUGCUGAUAUUCCUGGCAAGCAACAAGUGCCUCCCUCAGAGCUGGGCUCAGCUGUGUCACGAUUAUGUGUUCAGAUGUCACCUACUGUAGGCUGUGAUCUCUCAAGUCGUGACCUGGCUCCUGUUAGUCUCCUCUCCUCAGUUAGGUAGCAAACUUGUUGGCAGUGUAGGUGGCUAAUUGGUAAAUUGGCAAAUGAUCCAGAAAAAGAGGAUCUUGUUAAUGGAAAUUGUAGUUAUUUACUAAACAUAAUUAUGAAUUUGUCUUUUUAUCUAUCUUCUGUCUUUCUUCCACGUACCACUUAACUGCCAUUAAUUAGGAGAUCGGAUAUGUCUAUAAGUUGCUUUCUACUA